RNAcentral lists this ribosomal RNA (440 nucleotides) under uncultured bacterium. Its description in RNAcentral is "partial 16S ribosomal RNA". It matches the Rfam family "Bacterial small subunit ribosomal RNA", at positions 338 to 795 of the family's 1533-position model. The record is from RNAcentral.
CCUACGGGUGGCAGCAGUAGGGAAUAUUGCUCAAUGGGGGAAACCCUGAAGCAGCAACGCCGCGUGGAGGAUGAAGGUUCUAGGAUUUGAAACCCCCUUUGUUAGAGAAGUUAAUGAAGGCAUCUGUCGCAUAAGCACCGGCUAAUUCCGUGCCAGAAGCCGCGGUAACACGGAGGCUGCAAGCGUUACCCGGAAUCACUGGGCGUAAAGAGGGCGCAGGCGGGUUUGUAAGUCAGAUGUGAAAGGCUGUGGCUCAACUGCAGAACUGCAAUUGAUACUGGGAGUCUAGAGUAUGGGAGAGGUAGGUGGAAUUCUUGGUGUAGGGGUGAAAUGCGUAGAUAUCAAGAGGAAUACUCAUUGCGAAGGCGGCUUACUGGAACGUUACUGACGCUGAUGCACGAAAGCGUGGGGAGCAAACAGGAUUAGAUACCCGGGUAGUC